Ribozyme from Crocodylus porosus (Australian saltwater crocodile), 271 nucleotides. It matches the Rfam family "RNase MRP". Rfam says of the family: RNase MRP is an enzymatically active ribonucleoprotein with two distinct roles in eukaryotes. In mitochondria it plays a direct role in the initiation of mitochondrial DNA replication. In the nucleus it is involved in precursor rRNA processing, where it cleaves the internal transcribed spacer 1 between 18S and 5.8S rRNAs. The record is from Ensembl. NCBI's taxonomy places the organism in Eukaryota, Metazoa, Chordata, Crocodylia, Crocodylidae.
GGGCGUUCUGAAGACCUGCUUUCUAGGCCACGUGCUGAGGACACUCGUUCCUCCCGGGCCGAGCGCCCGCCUAGGGGAAAGUCCCCGGACCCCGGGCAGAAAGUGCCGCGCGCUACGGCGCGCUAUAACCUGUCCCGCCAGCUCCGCUAACACCGCCAAGACGCCCCCGGGCGGAGCGGGGAGCUGGGGUAAGGCGCCCGUCAGUCCCACAGGAACGCAGGUGGUGCCGCCCGGCCGCACCAACACAACGGGGCUCACUCUCAGAACGACC